GUAAGCAGAUUAUUAUAGAAGCAGAAGGAGCAGGUUAGGGGAGAAGGGGGGGCCUAACAAAAAGUUCUACUUAAAAUUGUUUUUUUAACUCAGGAUGUGGGGUAGCAGUGUGGAGUAGCAGUUACACGGUUACAGAUACAAGUUGUACAGGGCUGGUGGUCCCUGUUUCUCAGAAAAUUGGUUACAAAGAUGCCAGGUGUCUCAGACCACAAGCUUUUGGAACAGAAUGCCCUACAUAACUCAGGGUGGGCAAACAUAGCUCAGGGUGGGCAAAAUGGAGUUGGCAGGAUUAUUUAAAAUGUAUUCAUUAUAGCCAAGCUCAAGCUAGGGUAUUUCAGAAGCGUGAGGAGGGCCAGGUUUAUUGGGUGAAAAGAAAAAGAAGGAAACAGGCACUCUCCACAAGGCCAGAGUCCUGCUAGAGUGCUUCCUGCCUGGCAGAUUGAACUCUGGGUUCCACCCAGGAAGACGAGGGGCCAAGCUCCUUCCCCUGGCAAACAGCAUGAACCUCCAUGGCUCCACCCCAGCACACUCCACCCAGUGUGCAGGCAGGCUGGAGUUUUUCUGGGGACCCCUUCCCGCCUGGCUAUCUCAAUAAGAACCGAGAUGGAGUCUUGCUCUGUCACCAAGGCUGGAGUGUAGUGGCACGAUCUCAGCUCACUGCAACCUCUGUCUCCUGGGUUCAGGCGAUUCUCCUGCUUCAGCCUCCCGAGUAGCUGGCAUUACAGGUAUGUGCCACCACAACCAUGCUAAUUUCUGUAUUUUUAGUAGAGACGGGGUUUCACCAUGUUGACCAGGCAGGUCUCAAACUCCUGACCUCAGAUGAUCCACCCACCUUGGCCUCCCAAAGUGCUGGGAUUGCAGGCAUGAGCCACUGUGCCCAGUGCCAUUAUUUUUUGUAACAACCUUUUUUCUUCUCCUAGACUCCAUUCUUUCACACACUCAUACAAACAAAUAUAUAUUAUAUAUAUAUAUUUGUACACACAAGUCUAACAUAUAAUUUAAUAAAUGAGAAAAACAAUGAAUUGGAGCAGCAGAUUAAAAAAAAAAAACAAAACCAAUACAUUAACUGAACCUAUUCUGCAUAAUUGUUUAUUUGUUACACAAAGCAGUGUGAGACACAUUAUUGUCAACUGAAGAAUUUCAAUAAAAUUGUGCCAAAAAAGACUUAUGAAAAGGUGAACUCAAGAGUUAACAAUACAUUUACAUAUAUAACUAAGAUCUUCAUUUUUCCCUUCAUUUUCUGACCAUUUUGGUCCUAGUCAGUAUGCAUAGCAGAGAAACGUAGGAGAAUGCACCAGGGAUAAGUGCACUGGGACGUAGGUGGGAUUUGAGAGCCCCAGCAACAUGAGGAGGGCAUUGUGCAUCCAGCAUGCCUUGCUUGAAGUGUCAGAGCCUGACAGUAGUGAGGAGAGUGAUUAUGCUCAGAAAGGGACAGUGUGGCAUAAAGAUUAGCCUAAAUAGGUUGAGAAGGAUUCUACACAGACGCGUGAGCUACUAUAAGGAGCUGGAGCCCAUGUAUAGUGAGAAGUGCAUCCAUGUGGGUUGCAGAGAAUAAAAGUGGACAGAGAUGGAGACAAUUCCUAUGUAUUAUUGUCACAAGUAUGUUUUAUUUUCCUGAAUGGAAAGAUAGUGUCUCCUGCUGCUUUGUAUAGCACAUAGCAAGUAAAUAUAUUAAGAAUAAUGGGAGACUGAGUUUUUAUUGUCAGAAAAGAUAAUUACUGACAUAGAAAAAAAAGUACGUGCACCAAGUUCCAUUAAUAUGAAAUUAGAGAUAUUAGUGUAUAAACUCAUUUUUUUACCCUAUAAAGGUCGAUUAAAAAGUAAUUAAUAUAUAUUUGGAUGUGCAUAUAUGUAGAUGGAUGAUGCUCCCAUAACAGUGAGUAUACAGAUCACAAAAAUCUAUGCUUUUAAAUACUACUCUUC
Molecule: long non-coding RNA, 1923 nt
Organism: Callithrix jacchus (white-tufted-ear marmoset)
Lineage: Eukaryota; Metazoa; Chordata; Mammalia; Primates; Cebidae
Source: Ensembl